UACAGGUUGAUAUUCCUGUACCGCCAAUAAGCGUUUGAGAGAUGGAGUGACACAGUAGGAUAAGCUAACCGUACUGUUGGUUAUGUACGGCUAAGCAUUGAGGCAGUCUAAAUAGGCAAAUCCGUUUAGACAAUGCUAGGAUGUGAUGGGGAAGCCCUCCGGGGCGAAGUAGCUGAUUUCACACUGUCAAGAAAAGCUUCUAUCGAGUUUAAAGGCGCCCGUACCGUAAACCGACACAGGUGGGUGAGGAGAGUAUCCUAAGGCCAGCGAGAGAACUAUUGUUAAGGAACUCGGCAAAAUGACCCCGUAACUUAGGGAGAAGGGGUGCCUGUCUAUGACAGGCCGCAGAGAAUAGGCCCAAGCGACUGUUUACCAAAAACACAGGUUUCUGCUAAGUCGCAAGACGAUGUAUAGGAGCUGACGCCUGCCCGGUGCUGGAAGGUUAAGGGGAUCUGUUAGAGCAAUCGAAGCAGUGAACUUAAGCCCCAGUAAACGGCGGCCGUAACGAUAACGGUCCUAAGGUAGCGAAAUUCCUUGUCGGGUAAGUUCCGACCCGCACGAAAGGCGUAACGAUUUGGGCACUGUCUCAACAAUAGACUCGGUGAAAUUGUAAUCCCGGUGAAGAUGCCGGGUACCUGCGACAGGACGGAAAGACCCCACGGAGCUUUACUGUAGCUUGACGUUGGGUCUUGGUACUACAUGUACAGGAUAGGUGGGAGACUAUGAAGCAUGGACGCCAGUCUGUGUGGAGUCAUCCUUGGGAUACCACCCUUGUAGUACUGGGAUCCUAACCAUAGGCCUUGAAUCAGGUCUUGGAACACCGUCAGGUGGGCAGUUUGACUGGGGCGGUCGCCUCCUAAAAAGUAACGGAGGCGCUCAAAGGUUUCCUCAGCACGGUCGGAAAUCGUGCGAAGAGUGUAAAGGCAAAAGGAAGCUUGAUUGCAAGACAUACAGGUCGAGCAAGGACGAAAGUCGGACUUAGUGAUCCGGUGGUACCGCAUGGAAGGGCCAUCGCUCAACGGAUAAAAGCUACCCUGGGGAUAACAGGCUUAUCUCCCCCAAGAGUCCACAUCGAAGGGGAGGUUUGGCACCUCGAUGUCGGCUCAUCACAUCCUGGGGCUGUAGUAGGUCCCAAGGGUUGGGCUGUUCGCCCAUUAAAGUGGUACGCGAGCUGGGUUCAGAACGUCGUGAGACAGUUCGGUCCCUAUCCGUCGCAGGCGUAGGAAAUUUGAGAAGACCUGUCCUUAGUACGAGAGGACCGGGAUGGACGUACCUCUGGUGUACCAGUUGUUCUGCCAAGGGCAUGGCUGGGUAGCUAUGUACGGAAUGGAUAAGCGCUGAAAGCAUCUAAGCGCGAAGCCAACUUCAAGAUAAGAUUUCCCACCGUAAGGGUAAGACCCCAGGAAGACUACCUGGUUGAUAGGUCGAAGGUGUAAGUGCAGUAAUGUAUUUAGCUUAUCGAUACUAAUAGGUCGAGGACUUGACCU
RNAcentral lists this ribosomal RNA (1487 nucleotides) under metagenome. RNAcentral's name for it is "bacterial LSU rRNA". It matches the Rfam family "Bacterial large subunit ribosomal RNA", at positions 1422 to 2925 of the family's 2925-position model. The record is from RNAcentral.